CCUACGGGUGGCAGCAGUGAGGAAUAUUGGUCAAUGGACGAGAGUCUGAACCAGCCAAGUAGCGUGAAGGAUGACUGCCCUAUGGGUUGUAAACUUCUUUUAUAUGGGAAUAAAAUGUUCCACGUGUGGGAUUUUGUAUGUACCAUAUGAAUAAGGAUCGGCUAACUCCGUGCCAGCAGCCGCGGUAAUACGGAGGAUCCGAGCGUUAUCCGGAUUUAUUGGGUUUAAAGGGAGCGUAGGUGGAUUGUUAAGUCAGUUGUGAAAGUUUGCGGCUCAACCGUAAAAUUGCAGUUGAAACUGGCAGUCUUGAGUACAGGAGAGGUGGGCGGAAUUCGUGGUGUAGCGGUGAAAUGCUUAGAUAUCACGAAGAACUCCGAUUGCGAAGGCAGUUCACUGGACUGCAACUGACACUGAGGCUCGAAAAUGUGGGUAUCAAACAGGAUUAGAUACCCCUGUAGUC
RNAcentral lists this ribosomal RNA (460 nucleotides) under uncultured bacterium. RNAcentral's name for it is "partial 16S ribosomal RNA". It matches the Rfam family "Bacterial small subunit ribosomal RNA", at positions 338 to 795 of the family's 1533-position model. The record is from RNAcentral.